GCGUCGACGGGGCGCAGCCUGACCGCCUGCCGCGUGCAGGAUGAAGGCCUUCGGGUUGUAAACUGCUUUUGUACGGAACGAAAAGACUCUGGUUAAUACCUGGGGUCCAUGACGGUACCGUAAGAAUAAGCACCGGCUAACUACGUGCCAGCAGCCGCGGUAAUACGUAGGGUGCAAGCGUUAAUCGGAAUUACUGGGCGUAAAGCGUGCGCAGGCGGUUAUGUAAGACAGAUGUGAAAUCCCCGGGCUCAACCUGGGAACUGCAUUUGUGACUGCAUAGCUAGAGUACGGCAGAGGGGGAUGGAAUUCCGCGUGUAGCAGUGAAGGGGGUAGAUAUGCGGAGGAACACCGAUGGCGAAGGCAAUCCCCUGGGCCUGUACUGACGCUCAUGCACGAAAG
RNAcentral lists this ribosomal RNA (399 nucleotides) under uncultured bacterium. Its description in RNAcentral is "bacterial SSU rRNA". It matches the Rfam family "Bacterial small subunit ribosomal RNA", at positions 359 to 759 of the family's 1533-position model. The record is from RNAcentral.